This 554-nucleotide ribosomal RNA is filed under the name Boulenophrys frigida. RNAcentral describes it as "Megophrys sp. n. BT-2020 partial large subunit ribosomal RNA". It matches the Rfam family "Bacterial large subunit ribosomal RNA", at positions 1819 to 2597 of the family's 2925-position model. Lineage: Eukaryota; Metazoa; Chordata; Amphibia; Anura; Megophryidae. The record is from RNAcentral.
CGCCUUUUGAAUGAUAUAAAAGGUAAUGCCUGCCCAGUGACCAUGUGUUCAACGGCCGCGGUAUUCUGACCGCGCGAAGGUAGCGUAAUCACUUGUUUUUUAAAUAAAGACUAGUAUGAACGGCCGCACGAGGACCUAACUGUCUCCUUUGUCCAAUCAGUGAAACUGAUCUCCUCGUGCAGAAGCGAGGAUUCUCCCAUAAGACGAGAAGACCCUAUGGAGCUUCAAACCUUUAUCAACUAUUUUCUUUACUCCUCUAAGGAAACAACAGCCAAUUAAAUUUACUUGAUAAAAGUUUUGGGUUGGGGCGACCAUGGAGAAAAAAAAAUCCUCCCUGAUGAUUACCUAACCAAGAGCCACAGCUCUAAGUAUUAAGACACUUAACUCCUAUUGACCCAUUUUAUGAUCAACGAACCAAGUUACCCUAGGGAUAACAGCGCAAUCCAUUUCAAGAGUCCCUAUCGACAAAUGGGUUUACGACCUCGAUGUUGGAUCAGGGCAUCCCAGUGGUGCAACCGCUACUAAAGGUUCGUUUGUUCAACGAUUAAAGCCCU